GCCGAGAUAGCUCAGUCGGUAGAGCGCGGGACUGAAAAUCCCGGCGUCCCCGGUUCAAUUCCGGGUCUCGGCA
RNAcentral lists this transfer RNA (73 nucleotides) under bacterium. RNAcentral describes it as "tRNA-Phe". It matches the Rfam family "tRNA". From Rfam's summary of the family: Transfer RNA (tRNA) molecules are approximately 80 nucleotides in length. RNAcentral also lists the same sequence under 3 other names. The record is from RNAcentral.